RNAcentral lists this ribosomal RNA (253 nucleotides) under uncultured bacterium. Its description in RNAcentral is "partial 16S ribosomal RNA". It matches the Rfam family "Bacterial small subunit ribosomal RNA", at positions 524 to 776 of the family's 1533-position model. The record is from RNAcentral.
UACAGAGGUCCCGAGCGUUGUUCGGAUUCACUGGGCGUAAAGGGUGCGUAGGCGGUCGGUUAAGUCUGAUGUGAAAUCUCACAGCUUAACUGUGAAACUGCAUUGGAUACUAUCCGGCUAGAGGAAUGGAGGGGAGACUGGAAUACUUGGUGUAGCAGUGAAAUGCGUAGAUAUCAAGUGGAACACCAGUGGCGAAGGCGAGUCUCUGGACAUUUCCUGACGCUGAGGCACGAAAGCCAGGGGAGCAAACGGG